GUGAAUCAUCGAAUUUUUGAACGCAAAUUGCACUCUCUUCGGAGAGUAUGCCUGUUUGAGGGUCAGCCUAUAAAAAAUCGACAUAGUCGCUGUUUCGCGGUGGCGUUCGUCGGAAAUUGGGUCAUCUUAAACCUUUGGGUUUUAAGCGGCUUAAAAUUUUCUUUUUGGUUCUAUGAACGUUUCUAAGAUUUAUUUCUUUAUUUAUGUCAUGUAUCUUUUUUUGUUAUGCCCG
RNAcentral lists this unclassified non-coding RNA (232 nucleotides) under Glomus sp. RNAcentral describes it as "partial contains 5.8S ribosomal RNA and internal transcribed spacer 2". The stretch from base 1 to 65 matches the Rfam family "5.8S ribosomal RNA", at positions 84 to 154 of the family's 154-position model. The record is from RNAcentral. Lineage: Eukaryota; Fungi; Glomeromycota; Glomeromycetes; Glomerales; Glomeraceae.